CCUUUGACGUUAGCGGCGGACGGGUGAGUAACACGUGGGUAACCUACCUAUAAGACUGGGAUAACUUCGGGAAACCGGAGCUAAUACCGGAUAAUAUUUCGAACCGCAUGGUUCGAUAGUGAAAGGUGGUUUUGCUAUCACUUAUAGAUGGACACGCGCCGUAUUAGCUAGUUGGUAAGGUAACGGCUUACCAAGGCGACGAUACGUAGCCGACCUGAGAGGGUGAUCGGCCACACUGGAACUGUGACACGGUCCAGACUCCUACGGGAGGCAGCAGGU
RNAcentral lists this ribosomal RNA (279 nucleotides) under uncultured Staphylococcus sp. RNAcentral's name for it is "partial 16S ribosomal RNA". It matches the Rfam family "Bacterial small subunit ribosomal RNA", at positions 83 to 354 of the family's 1533-position model. The record is from RNAcentral. Lineage: Bacteria; Bacillati; Bacillota; Bacilli; Caryophanales; Staphylococcaceae.